GUCGUGUGUGUGUGUGUGCGUGGAAUGCUCUGGAGAAGAACAAAGGGGUGUAAACCCUAGUUCUUAAAGAAGCUCCAAAUUGAAGGUUGAAACGAGGCUCAAAAUCAUGAAUAAACACGGAUUAAUGCUCACCAUCACAAGAGGAUCAAAAGGAUAGGAAUCACAUUGGCAUGGACUCAAGAACGGAAGGUUAACGGGUCAAGCGGAGGCGAGGAAUCAAGCAUGAACACUAACGCUUAAGGUAAGUGACUUCCGACUUACUCCUUAGUAUACAUAUAGAAUUUUCUUGUCUAUGGAUGAGGGGAAAUUAUGUAUGGGAAUGUAAUGAAUGAAGGUAUUAAUAUAAGUAUUGAACUAGUUCGUCGAAGAUAGUUAUCCAAGUAGAAGAAAAUUUGGUAUGAUUAAACGGGUCGAAUAAAUAAGUAUAAGUAAGGUAACGGCAAUGAAAUCCGUAAAUGAUCAAGGACUCGGGGUAAGAAUUCUUAGUCUAAUAUGUAAGAAUUGUUUUACGGACAUUUAGGAACAAGUUUCAAGUGAUUCGGACGCGAGAUGAACAAGUUAUGAGGUUUUUGUCAACAAAAUGGAAGGCUGAGCUGGGGACUACCGUAACUUACGGUAGCCACCGUAAGUUACGGUAGAUGCUGGGUCUUUGUUUUCUGCCGUAAGGCAGUAGGGAGGCACCGUAAGCCUUUUGGAGCCACCGUAAGCUACGGUAGCCACCGUAGCUUACGGUGGAGGUCAGAUGUAGAAUGUAGAAUUUGCAUAAUUCAUUGUUUUUCUUCAAAUUUGGACCCCGUGAACCCACUCCAAGUCUCGAUAAGUUUUUAUAAUGUUCCUCAACACUACCAAAUGGCUUGGUAAGUUACGGGUGAGUAUGAAACUCAUUUUUAAGAUCCGAAACAUACCCGAAAGAUACUUUUAAACGCGUUUAUGAUUCGUAGGUAAGGACGGGGUAUGUGAGCGGGUAUGCGGGGUAAUGAAUUAAGUAUGCGGGUGUGUAUGUAUGUAUAGAUUUUCACUUCGUUCCAAUGGCUCAGCUCAUAAGUAAUUACGAGUAGGAGUUAGUAUGUAUAUGAGUUUGUUUGUACAUGUAUUGUUACAUGGAGGUUUGUAAUUAGGAUAGGUCGGUGAGUCAUAAGGAAUUAUGUAUGUGGUAUGUAAGAGUUAGUAUGUAUGUAUGAAUGUAUUUAUGUAUUAUAUAAGUGUGUAUGUAUGUACGUAUGAUGUGUGUAUGUAUUAAGUGACCAAAAGUACAUAUAUGGAUGUGUGUAGGCACGAAGUAGUAUUGAUUGUGUACGAAGGAAUUGGACUUGUAUAUAUGUAUACAAAGCUUCAGUGUGUUGGGUACUAAGUUACUGAUCAUGUAUCUUGAGAAUGAAAUGAGAAUUGCAGGUAUGCUAUGGAAGUCCAUUGUGAAGUUUGAGGAAAUUGGGAAAUAAGAUUGUACUCGGAAGGAUGAUCGAAAAGUCUUGCACGAAUAGAAAGAUUGCGGCAUGGUCAAUUAAUUAUGAAUGAUAGAUUAUGAAUGUAGAUUGUCAAACUUUAAUGAUGUACAUGUUUGUGGUGAAUGUAGGUUACGCGGACCAACAUCGGUAUAAAGUAUUAGAGGAUUGAAGAUCGAGUCAAGGGCAAGAAUUGUACGGGAAUAGUAGUCACAUAUUUGAGAAUCGUAUAUGUAAUUGAUGUGAUAAGUAAGAAUGAACGUUGUAAACCUUUUAUUGAAGUGUGGGUUACUCUAGAAACAAACUUACAAAUGAGUUAUAUAAGUAAUAUAGAAAGAAAUUUUA
Molecule: long non-coding RNA, 1787 nt
Filed under: Helianthus annuus (common sunflower)
Lineage: Eukaryota; Viridiplantae; Streptophyta; Magnoliopsida; Asterales; Asteraceae
Description: hypothetical non coding rna
Source: RNAcentral